GCGUACAACCGCGGCGCCGUGCCCCUCCGUCGGCCGGUCCGGUUCGCCCGACGCCUCUCGUGCUCUAUCGGCUCAACUCACCUCCGCCGCCACCGGGCUGGCCCGGCUGCAGGUCCUGGCGCGGAGGCGACACUCGCUGAGAGUGCGGCGGCGCGGGGGCGGCUGCUGUGGCGGGUACGAGGUGGCUGGGGGCGGCGGCGGCAGCAGCACCGCCACUAAGGACAAGGCCCUGGUUAGGACCCCCAGCGAUCCCACCGGCGGCGGCGGCCCGAACGCCAUUAGGCUCGACCCGAAGCUGCCUUUGGGCCCAGGAAGU
Molecule: long non-coding RNA, 316 nt
Filed under: Rattus norvegicus (Norway rat)
Lineage: Eukaryota; Metazoa; Chordata; Mammalia; Rodentia; Muridae
Description: long non-coding RNA NONRATT003494
Source: RNAcentral